AGUGAACGCUGGCGGUAGGCCUAACACAUGCAAGUCGAACGGCAGCACAGUAAGAGCUUGCUCUUACGGGUGGCGAGUGGCGGACGGGUGAGGAAUACAUCGGAAUCUACUUUUUCGUGGGGGAUAACGUAGGGAAACUUACGCUAAUACCGCAUACGACCUACGGGUGAAAGCAGGGGAUCUUCGGACCUUGCGCGAUUGAAUGAGCCGAUGUCGGAUUAGCUAGUUGGCGGGGUAAAGGCCCACCAAGGCGACGAUCCGUAGCUGGUCUGAGAGGAUGAUCAGCCACACUGGAACUGAGACACGGUCCAGACUCCUAAGGGAGGCAGCAGUGGGGAAUAUUGGACAAUGGGCGCAAGCCUGAUCCAGCCAUACCGCGUGGGUGAAGAAGGCCUUCGGGUUGUAAAGACCUUUUGUUGGGAAAGAAAAGCAGCAGGUUAAUACCCCGCUGUUCUGACGGUACCCAAAGAAUAAGCACCGGCUAACUUCGUG
Molecule: ribosomal RNA, 492 nt
Filed under: uncultured bacterium
Lineage: Bacteria
Description: partial 16S ribosomal RNA
Rfam family: Bacterial small subunit ribosomal RNA
Source: RNAcentral